Picea glauca (white spruce) is the source of this 122-nucleotide non-coding RNA. The record is from Rfam. NCBI's taxonomy places the organism in Eukaryota, Viridiplantae, Streptophyta, Pinopsida, Pinales, Pinaceae.
AUGUAAUGUAAUUCCUACAACAUUAAUGCAUCAUAUCUCAUUAUAAGUCUUCAUUUAAGUGUGAUUGGGCUAUAGUAGUACUGGGAUGGGUGACCUCCUGGGAAGUCCUAGUGUUUUACAUG